RNAcentral lists this unclassified non-coding RNA (386 nucleotides) under fungal sp. RNAcentral describes it as "partial internal transcribed spacer region". The stretch from base 1 to 46 matches the Rfam family "Eukaryotic small subunit ribosomal RNA", at positions 1786 to 1831 of the family's 1831-position model. The record is from RNAcentral. Lineage: Eukaryota; Fungi.
AAGUCGUAACAAGGUCUCCGUAGGUGAACCUGCGGAAGGAUCAUUAACACGUAUCCACGUAUCAACCAAUGAGAACCUGUUUUCCCGUCUCCCUGUGCAAAGAAUGAAUUGGAACCAGUUUGAGGGAGUGAUGGGACCGAAAGGUCGGCCUUCCUGGUAUACUUACGUAAAUAGAAAUGUUUGCGUAGACAAUUGUAUUUUUGUUACAGGCUAUUUCUUAUCGCUUUGAUCCCCAUCAUGAUCGUGGCGGUAGGGAAACUUUCACUAUAUUUACCUUUUUUGCUAGUUGACUUUUUAUAUGUGUUGUCUUGCGAAAGCAUGGUAGCACACGUUUAUUAAUUGAACGUUAAAAAAUACAACUCUUAGCAAUGGAUAUCUUGGUUCUC